UACGUAGGUGGCGAGCGUUAUCCGGAUUUACUGGGUGUAAAGGGUGUGUAGGCGGGAUGACAAGUCAGAUGUGAAAGGCCGUGGCUUAACUACGGCACUGCAUCAGAAACUGUUAUUCUUGAGUGUGGGAGAGGUAAGCGGAAUUCCUGGUGUAGCGGUGAAAUGCGUAGAUAUCAGGAGGAACACCGGUGGCGAAGGCGGCUUACUGGACCACAACUGACGCUGAUACACGAAAGCGUGGGGAGCAAACAGGAUUAGAUACCCGGGGUAGU
RNAcentral lists this ribosomal RNA (272 nucleotides) under uncultured prokaryote. RNAcentral's name for it is "partial 16S ribosomal RNA". It matches the Rfam family "Bacterial small subunit ribosomal RNA", at positions 524 to 794 of the family's 1533-position model. The record is from RNAcentral.